UACGGAGGGUGCAAGCGUUGUCCGGAAUCACUGGGCGUAAAGGGCGCGUAGGUGGCGACCCAAGUCGAUGGUGAAAGCUCGCCGCUCAACGGCGAGUCGGCCACCGAUACUGGGUUGCUUGAGCACUGUAGAGGCUAAUGGAAUUCCGGGUGUAGCGGUGGAAUGCGUAGAGAUCCGGAAGAACACCGGUGGCGAAGGCGGUUAGCUGGGCAGUUGCUGACACUGAGGCGCGACAGCGUGGGGAGCAAACAGG
This 253-nucleotide ribosomal RNA is filed under the name uncultured bacterium. RNAcentral's name for it is "partial 16S ribosomal RNA". It matches the Rfam family "Bacterial small subunit ribosomal RNA", at positions 524 to 776 of the family's 1533-position model. The record is from RNAcentral.